AUUGAACGCUGGCGGCAGGCCUAACACAUGCAAGUCGAACGAGUGGCGGACGGGUGAGUAAUGUCUGGGAAACUGCCUGAUGGAGGGGGAUAACUACUGGAAACGGUAGCUAAUACCGCAUACCAUUAACUGUGCCCAGGUGGGAUUCGCGAGUGGGUGGGGAAACGGCUCACCAAGGCCACGAUCCCUAGCUGGUCUGAGAGGAUGACCAGCCAAACUGGAACUGAGACACGGUCCAGACUCCUACGGGAGGCAGCAGUGGGGAAUAUUGCACAAUGGGCGAAAGCCUGAUGCAGCCAUGCCGCGUGUAUGAAGAAGGCCGUCGGGUUGUAAAGUACUUUCAGCGGGGAGGCGUUACCCGCAGAAGAAGCACCGGCUAACUCCGUGCCAGCAGCCGCGGUAAUAC
This 406-nucleotide ribosomal RNA is filed under the name uncultured bacterium. RNAcentral describes it as "partial 16S ribosomal RNA". It matches the Rfam family "Bacterial small subunit ribosomal RNA", at positions 30 to 526 of the family's 1533-position model. The record is from RNAcentral.